Molecule: small nuclear RNA, 21 nt
Filed under: Arabidopsis thaliana (thale cress)
Lineage: Eukaryota; Viridiplantae; Streptophyta; Magnoliopsida; Brassicales; Brassicaceae
Description: snRNA_13312
Source: RNAcentral
GGGAUUUUUGAAGAUAAUGUU